AGAAAAUCACGCUAAAAAUGAGGAUUUCAUGUAUAGUUAAUUAAGAUGACAUUGCUAUUGGUAAUUUAAUUUAAGAUGACAGCAGUUUGAUAAAAUUUGAAUCCAUCUGUUUUUAUUCAGGGUUCCUCUUCUCGCAUGGAGAGCGCCAUUCUCGUACCCAGAGCCCUUCUUACGCGCGGUCAACGCAGCGCGACGAGUGGCUCUGGCCAAAUCCAUAACCGGAUACCAUAAAAACAUGGUAAGAAAACAAUAUCCGGUAUUAGAACUAGCCAAUCAGAUGCCAGUUCGGAUAUCGAUUUGGCCAGAGCCCCUCGUCGCACCGUGCGUGAGGACUCUGGGUACGAGAAAGGCUUUGAGAGCGCAGGAUGAAAGCCUGGGUUCAAGGAUGUAAAAUGUCUCGAUGUUUGGGAGUCCGGUCAGCCUUAACAAAUGUCAAAAAAGCAGGCUGUAGCGAUUCACAUGCAGAUUCCAGUAGAUGCCAUUAUGGCUUUGGCAGGUUUGGUCAAUUUUGGACUUGCGUAUGGUAGCUAUUCCCACAGAGCUAUUGCGUCACAUCACGGUCACAUGUAACCUCAAAGUUGCCAAAAAUAACGGAAUAAAAUCUCUAGGUCUAAGCUGCUGAAAAUAUUGACAAUUGUAGAAACAAGGAAACUGUAACAGUCCUAUACCUCUCUUAUUUAUUCUCAACUUAAUAUUAACAUACCUUUGUAAAUAGACGACUAUACCACAGGAGCAAACAAUUAUACGCCAAUAAAAUCAGCUUUAAGAGUGAGUAUUCGUA
Paramuricea clavata is the source of this 781-nucleotide non-coding RNA. The record is from the annotation of a GenBank genome assembly. Lineage: Eukaryota; Metazoa; Cnidaria; Anthozoa; Malacalcyonacea; Plexauridae.